ACCACUGAGCUAAAUCCCCAGCCCUAGUGAACUAUUUUUUAAAGUAAAUGUCAAGGGCUGGGGAUUUAGCUCAGUGGC
Molecule: microRNA precursor, 78 nt
Filed under: Heterocephalus glaber (naked mole-rat)
Lineage: Eukaryota; Metazoa; Chordata; Mammalia; Rodentia; Bathyergidae
Description: mir-3473 microRNA precursor family
Rfam family: mir-3473 microRNA precursor family
Source: Rfam by way of RNAcentral